Molecule: long non-coding RNA, 29550 nt
Filed under: Medicago truncatula (barrel medic)
Lineage: Eukaryota; Viridiplantae; Streptophyta; Magnoliopsida; Fabales; Fabaceae
Source: RNAcentral
AACAUUUCUACAUCCAUGAUUAAAUGGUUUCAAGUCAAGGCCAUAUGCAAUUGCAGCUGCAGUAGGCUCAUUGAGUAUUCGCAAAACAUUGAGGCCAGCAAUAGCACCCGCAUCUCGAGUAGACUGGCGUUGUGAGUCAUUAAAGUAUGCAGGCACAGUUAUAACAACAUCCUCCACUAUUGAUCCAAGGAAGGUUUCUGCUAUCUCGCGCAUUUUCACCAAUACCAUGGAUGAGAUUUCUUCAGCAGCAAAAUGUUUUUCCUCGUCAUUAUAGUUAACAACAAUCAUGGGUUUGUCAUUCAGGUCACCAAUUACUUUGAAUGGCCACAACUUCACAUCACUUUGUACUAUGGGAUCACUAAAUUUCCGACCAAUUAGCCUCUUUGCAUCUACAAAACAAAAGAGAGUUGUGUACACUAUGAAAAACAAUUGGAUCGCUUUAUGAAUUAAUCAUUCUAUGUGGAUUUGAAUAAAUCCAUAUAUAUAUAAAUAGGAUAACUUUAAUAUAUAUAGCUUGUAUAGAAAAUACUAUUAUAUAUUUAACCCCGUAAGUAAUACAAUCUUGGGAUUUUGGUCCCUUAUAAAAAACAAUAACAAAUCAGCUCCUAUGUUUAUCCUCUUUUGCACUUUUGGCCUUCCGACCAAUUUUAAUCAAAUUAAUGCAUAUGUGACACCCAUAUCACUUUAUUUAUUAGGUUUAAUUGCAGUUUUUCCCCCUAAGUAUCAUAAUCUUGCGAUUCUGGCCCCUUAAAAAAAUAUAAAGUCACACGUGGCACCCCCUUUAAAUGAUAUGUGGCCAAAAUCGUAAAAUUGUGAUAUUAAGGGAUCAAAAUUGAAACUAAGCCUAAUAUGUAUUGUUACAACGUGAAAUAACUUUUUAUUGGAUAUUUUCAUUACAAAGAGAACUCUUUAUUUUGCUUAUGAACUCGUGGGAUACACAAAAAUUGUAUUAUCAUGUAUAAAAAUAAAACUAGUACUAAUCUAUCACGUCUUUGAAUGAACUUUGAGUUAAAAUACUCUUAUUAAAAAAAAAAUCAUAUAUAUAAGCCACAGUUGCAUAAUUCUCUUACAAAAUAAUCAUGCAUGUGUUUUCUUAAAAAUUUAGUAGAAAGUAACGAACAUUGUCGAUAUGCUCAUGAACUUUACUAAUAAUUUUGUUAAGCUUUUGAAGAUCUAUUAAUAUAAAAUAAUAGUGGUCAUUCAUCAUGAGUUAUUGCUUUAAAAAAAACAAAGAACCAAAACUUUCAAUAAUCUUUACUUCUAAUUUUCAUAUCAGAUAGAUUAUUGAAAAGAAAUAUUUAGUUUCUCUUCUUGUUAAUUUCUUUAUAUUGUAAUAGAACCGAAAAUACAUAUUAAUAAAAAAUAUAUCAAAUACACCUACUAAUACUAUCACACUUCAAAAAAUAACCGAAAAUACAUACUACUAAAAAAAAAGGAUUAAAUAUGUUUUUUAGUCCCUAUAAAUAUACCAUAUUUUUUUAAUAUUAAAUGAGUCCUCGUAUAUUUUCUCAUAAAAAUUACUCAACUUUUUAUUUUCUUUAAAAAAAAUGAGUAACCUAUUUCACUAUAUUUUAGCGUUAUAAAAUAAAAAGUUAUAAUAUGUAGUAACAAAUUUAAUCAUAAAAUAUUUGCAACAAACUAAAGUUGGAUGACGUCUUCAAAAUAACUAAAGAGUGCAACAUCAUAGUUUGUAACUCUAACAUGUUUUGAUUUUUAAUAUAGAGGAUGUGUCAAUUUUAAAAAUUUGACUUUGAUUUUCAAUAUAGAGGAUGUGUUGUAUCAAUUUUAGAAAUUAGACUUGAUUUAUAACAAAAACAUAUUUUUAAAAGAAAGAUUAUAACCAAAACCUUUGUUAUUCUCCUUCCUCCCUAUGAGAAUGAGAAUGAAAAUAAAAAUAAAAAUAUGAACAUUAUUGGGUAAGUAAGUUUAUUGGAUCAAUGUCUGGUUUUACUCAAAACCCGUUAUUUUUUUUUUAUAGAUUUUUCAUUUUUUAAAACCAUAUCCACUCAAUCAUCCAACCCAUUUUUUUGGAUGGAUUUGAGGGAUUUUUUUGGGUUGACUCAACCCAUUUAAUAUACACCCAUAAAACCAUAAGGAAAGGCAUAAAAUUAUUACUCCCUCCGUCCCAAAUUGUAUGUCACUUUAGAAAAAAUAUUUGUCCCAAAUUGUAUGUCGCUUUACAAUACCAAUGAAAAAUUAAUGUUACUUUUCCUAUUAUAUCCUUAACUAUUUAUUACUCUCUCUUCUUUCAAUUCCUUCAUUUAUCUUUCUCAUAUCAUUUAUUGAGGAUAAUUUUGUAAAACAACUCAUAAUAUCUCUUUCCCACACAAUAUUAAUUACAUUUCUUAAUAUGUGUGAAAUGCCCAAAACGUCAUGCAAUUUGGGACGGAGGGAGUAAAUGUAUAACAUCUAUCGAGACAAAAUAUGAUAGUUUACCUCUAUCAGAUAAAAUUAAUUGCACUAUUCUUAAUAAUUACUACUCCCUCCGUUCCAAAUUGUAUGUUGCUUUAGGGAAAAAAAUUUGUCCUAAAUUGUAUGUCGCUUUACAGUUACUUUUUCUAUUAUAACCUUAACUAUUUAUUACUCUAUCUUAUUUCAAUUCUUACAUUUAUUUUUCUCAUAUUAUUUAUUAAGUACAAGUUUGUAAAACAACUCAUAAUAUCUCUUUUCCACACAAAAUUAAUUAUAUUUCUUAAUAUAUGUGAAAUGCCCAAAACGUCAUACAAUUUGGGACGGAGGGAGUAAUAUUUAUGUAUCAUAACCCCUUUCAAAAAAGAUAUUUCUGUAUCUUAAUAAUUAAAAUUUCUAUUUAUUUAAAUAUAAUUAAAUUUAAUUCAUUUUAAUAUAUGAAUUUUCUGCCAAUUUUUUUAUAAUAUAUCAAGUAGAUAUAACACUUAUGUUCCCACACCUACGCUUCACUCUUCUUUCAUACUAGUAUAUUUUAUUUUUUAUUUCACCCUUUUCUCUCCUUUUAUAGAAAAUUAUCAAAGAAUUCGAUUAAAGUACGAUCCAUGAAAGAUGAAUCUUCCAGAUCGUUUACUGUCACUGUUUGACCGCAUGUUCUUCCUAUUCUCUUCCGACAUUUUUCUACCAAAACAUGUUUUAUGAAAGCAAACUACCUUUUGUUUUUGGAAUGAGAAAGGAACUACCUUUGAAAUGGGUUAUUUUUAUGUGUUUGAUAUAUUUUCAACCAGUGAAAACCACCUUUAGACACAACUCCACCACCACUAAAUUCCUCUUCUACAAUUUAAUUUCAUGAACAUUUGGAAUGUACUCACUUCGAUUACUAUUAUAAAUAAAAAUCAAUUUUUUAGAUUCAUUUAUUAAAUUAUGUAUUUGAUCUAUAAUUAGUAAAGUCAAGAAUAAUUGAGUUUAGAAGCUUUUACCGAAAAUAGUGUUUGUUGGGUUCGAAGCAGCUAUAUUGAAAGCAGCAUCACCAAUCAUUCUUUCAGAGUCUUUGAAUGCAACAAAAGAAGGUGUUGUUCUCUUCCCUAGGUCGUUCACUAUUAUAUCUAUCUCUCCAUUCUUACACACUGCAACACAAGAAUAGGUUGUUCCUAGGUCGAUUCCUAUUGCUACUUUCUUACCUCUUCCUGACAUUUCUUUCUUUGCAAUCACUCACAGGUAACAAAGUUUUGAGUAGAAAAUAUAGAACGAUGAGUUUUGAGAAUAAAUUGUUGUUUGAGCUGUUUCAUUAAAUGUAAAGAUUUGUGCAUAUAUAUAAUAAUAUUAGUCUUACUAUCACAAAGUAGUACGUGUAAAAUUUCAACAUUCUCUCAACUUAUAAGUGAAUAACAAAAGUUUAAUAUAUAUUUUUUUUAAAUAGACAAAAUGACAAAGUCAUCAUAAACUCGCAUACACGAAGUAGAAAUAUUAGGAUUCGAACCCCAGUUAUAACGUCUGACCUAACAAAAAGUAGAAAUAUUGGGAUUCGAACCCCGAUUAUAACGUCUGACCUAACAAUUUGUCAUUUUUUGCUAGUUGAACUAUGACUUAUGUGACACAAAAGUUUAGUAUUUUUUUUUUUUAUUUGUCGAGAAAAGUUUAGUAUUCUACUAAUUGAUAAAUGCUAAAAUAUAGCCAUGGGCACUUAUUAGCAUAUGACCCUUGAUAAAUUAAAAUCACUCAAAAAUAGAAGGAUUCAAAUUAUUCAAUUAAUAAUAUUUUUUCCGUCUCAAAUUAUAAAUCCUUUUAAAAAAAAAUUGUUUUAAAUUAUAAAUCAUUUCAUAAUACCAAUAAAACGUUAAUUUAAUUUUUCAAAUUAUAAUUUAAACUAUUUAUUAAGUAUUUUUAUAUCUAAUAAUUUUUUAUACUAUUUUUUCGAGGGACAAAUGAGUCAACAAAAUUGUUGUAUCUAUUUUAUAAUAUGUACUAAAUACAUUAAUAUUUAUUGAUCUAUUUUUCUCUUACAAAAAGAUCAACAAAAGUGUUUAUUAAGGAGAUUAUUAGAAAUGUCCUAAGCAUAUCACUUUCAGCUAGAAUUUAAAUAACCUUAUCGUUUUGAAAUAACAUAAAGUUAUUGAUGUUCUAUAGUAAUUUAUUUGGUGAUAAGCAUAUCAAGUGAGGUAGGAGAGAUGCAUCAUAUCAGUGAGCUGUAGGCAAGUGGAUAAGUUGAUUUUAAAGCAUAUGAUUAUUUGGGGUGUACAACAUCACGUCAAUUGGAGCCUCAUCUUUUGAGGAAAUAUCAGUCUUAUCUUAUGUUAUCUUUUGGAUUGAAUGAGACCCAUAUACCCAAGUAGUCUUAUGUUAUCUUAUCAAAAUGACUCCAUCAACCAAUAAACAUUCAUUAAAAGCCUUACCCAGUGGCCCUCAUCCAACAAAUAUUCUUUUAUGAACACAAUUUCUCAUUAGAAAAAACACAGAUUUAUUUUUAAAUAAAAAAAUGAAACUUUUCCUUAGUACAAACAAUCCAACCACACACUGUCCAAUCCAACCACACACUACAAUACGAAUGAAUUUUCACUUUAUCCAACAACUGAUCAAUACUGUUUUUCUUGUGGCUAAAUAGUCUAUUAUUAUGUUCCACAUGAAAGACAAAUGAGCUGCAUAAAAGAUCGCUGCGCAACCAACCCACCUGUAGAAUAAGUAAACUGAACAAAAUGACCAGAAAUACUAUAAGGAUCGGUCAUGGAAACACCUAUCCAAUCACGGACUAAAUGCCAAAGAUCCCUGAUAAUUGUACGAGAAAGAAAUAAAUAUUGAGCCGUUUCGAUUUCUCCACACCUGGUCAUACACAAAUGCGUGUCAUGAUUUAGGAUUCCAUGCAUCACCAAAUUUUGGACAAUACCGUUGCCUAAGGAAGAAAGGAGUGUCGAAGGAAGAAUUCAACCUGAAGGUUGAAAAUCAGAAGGAAAUUAAGAAGCCUUAAGGACAGGGGCUACCGAGCACAAGUUAGACAUAUCUGUCAAGCUCAUGACAUAAAAAACGCGCUCAAUAGGAGACAACCUAUUCCGUCAAGCUAAGGACUCAAAAGAAGCGUUGAAUAUAAGACAACUUAUUGAUCGUCGGGACUAAGACAUUAAACAAUCGCUAAAUGGGAGGCAACCCAUUAGUUUAUCUUUUCUGCAUUUCUAUUUUUUGCUAAGUUAUGAUUUCCUAACUAAUGUCAUUUCUUAUUCUGCUACUAAUACUUAAGUUUUAUCUUAUAAAAUUGUAUUUUUUUUUUUUUUUUUGCAUUUACAAAUACAACAAUUUCUUUUAUGCUUUAAUUUUGUUUUAGUUUUAGGAAGUCACUUCAAAGUGUUCACAGUGGAGGCUAGUUUACUUCAAGAGCACAAUACUUUUUGGGGCUUGCUACUGAAGGUACUUAUAGGAUCAACAUCUCUUUUCUGAAUGCUAUUUUUUCUCGAAUUUGCUGUCGUUCUUUACGGACGAUCAGUUAAAAUAUAAUAAACAUAAGACAUUUUUUUCUUUGGUACCUUGAUACUUUCAAGCCACCCUUUUUAUAUUCUUAUUAUCCUUUUUGAAACCACUUUGAGCCUUCAGAAGAUAUUUCUUUCUUAUUACUAAGUGACGAAUCAUGUCACAGUCCUGAACUUUAAAAUCACCUUGUUUGAUUUCUCUUGGAGUUAGAUAUGAUAUUAUCUUGACUGUGUAUGGUUUGAUGCUUAGUUUGACGUUGCUCUUUGGAAUUAACAACAUUUUAUGUUUGGGGUGGGGUAAUGAUGGUCGGAUUAGGCAAGUGUACCCAAUCGUUUACCGAGUACUAAAGUGAUAAGUAGAGUAUCGUAUCCACAUGGGUUGUCGUUUCUUCGAAAUAAUUCGUGUUACUUAUUUUAAAUUGACGAUAUAAAAUAAAAGAGAUAAGGGUUAGAAAUUGCAAUUUUUAUAAGUUUGCAACAUAGCAAGUUACCUGUUUUUUGUUACAUAAAAGGAAACAGCGGUUAGGACUCUUUAAAUCCCCUCUAUUUACUUUGUUGGAUAUUGAAUAACAUUCAUUAAUAGACUAUACAAGUGAUGAGAUUGUUGGGACAUUCUAGCCUAAUCGGUUGUCAAGUUGCACCUGCUUAUCGCACAGUGAUCCUUACGUGUGGGGUCUAUACUAUCUCGGUUGAUUUAGGUUUAUCCCUCUGAUGGCUAACUGCACUUGACGAUCGCACAGUGAUCCUUACGUGCGGGGUCUUGCUAAUUCAAAGGUAAUUGAAACAUAUACUUAAAUUGGCAUUCCAGGUUUUCCAAAGGCAAUGAAGGCCAAUGUUGCAGUAGGUCAGCCCAUCUGUUAAUCUUAGGACACUCAUAACACACUCUCAUUUUCCCCUAAGUAGUUAUACAAACGAGCAGCCCUAUCAACAUCUACCUUACCUAGAGGUCGGGGACAAUGGUUUUAUUUAGGUUUAUUUCUCUUGGUGUUUGUUUCCCUAAUUACUAAACUAGCUACAUCCGAGGUUCAACAUAUUUUACUCAAUAUUAAUAAUGUCACAUCCUAAGUACCUACUACUAGGGUCAACUCUCUUUUGGUAUCUUUCGCUAGUUUACUAAUCAUCUACUUUCUAGACGGAUAAUUACUAGUAUAAGGAAAUAAAUAUCAAGAUAUAAGCAUCCAGAUAGUAAUAGAAAUGUCAAGCCCUCUCACGAAGUAAGUAUCUAAUCUAGGGUUGCACCCCGCCAUAAUAUAUUAAUCUUAAGCAAAACUUAACAGCAAAUAAAAAAUAUAUUAAAAUAAAAUGACAUUAAAUUAAAUAAUUAUCCAACAAACGCAAACCGAUGUUCAUCUUAGAACCCUAACCUAUAGAUAUCUAGUUACACAUGAUAACUAAGACAAAAAUACAAAAAGAUAAAAAUAUAUCCUAGAAAAUAUAGGAGAAGAUAUAACUCCUCCUUGACUCCUAUAAUAGCCUUCCUAUUGAACUGCUCAAGUUCUGAACGAGAAAUUGUGAAUGAGGAAGACUAUAUUUGUAUAGAAAGUUUUCACCUAACUUGGACUAAAAUCACAAACUUCUAGGGACGAAAAAGUCACGAAAAAUGAUUUUUUUCGCAAAACUCAUGUGUCCCGCGCCUAGAGUCAUGCGCCUAGCGCAUGUGCCUGGAUCUUUCAUGCGCCAGGAGCUUACAAAUUGCUAUGAAUGUGGCAAGUCUUAUAAAAGCUAAUCUUAUUAUCUAAUCCUAAACUACAAUGCAAACAAAACAUCAAAAACCCUAAUCCUAUGUUUUGAGUGGGAAACUAAUGCUUUAACCUCACUUAAUGCCAUUUUUGAAUUUCAAAUCAUGUACCCUUUUGGAAUGUGUGCUCAUGUGGCUAAUUAAAUGCAGAUUUUGAAAUUCAAAUAUCCCACCUAUUGGAAUUGUGCUCCCUUCUUUCCAAGACAUGCAGUUACCCACUUCCCAAUGCAAAGGAAUCUGAACCAAACAACUACUUCCUUGCAUUUUGCUCUCUCUCCCCUUUCACGCCCAUUUUUCUCUCUGUUCAGAAAAAGUCAUCAAUUUUCAGUCCCUCUUAUCUUCUCUCUCACUUCAGUUCCUCUCUAAAAAAAGCAUCUUCUCUUCUCACACUUUAUUUCUUUUCUUCAUUUUCCGACAUUCUUCUUCAAUUCUCCCUUUCUCUCUCAUUGUUUCUCGCAUGGCUCUUCGUGUCUUAGGUUUGGGUGUUCUCUUCAUCGCCGGCCAGCCUCACCAAGGCAAUAAGCAUCUUCAAGUUUUAUUGAAGGAAAAUGCUUCUAUGCAACAAAAUUUAUAUGAGCUUCGAUCCCUCGGGUAUGCGUUUUCAGUUUCGUUACAUUUUGAUAUCGUGAUUAGGGUUUUGGUAUCACUGGUGUUAUUUUGAUUGAUUUUUCCGAUUUGAUAGGAAGGGAGCUUGAAGAAGCGGGAGUUCUUAGUGAAUCGGCACAGUCGCGGAAGGUUUUUCUUUUCAUCAACGAUCUUCUCUCUCAUUCGCUGCUCUUCGAAUGUAGUGUUUAAAGAAAUUUUUUGAAAUGUGUAGACACGAAAAACUUCCAUUAUUAUUAAAUUUAAAGUUAUGACAUUUGAAAAUAUGUGAUGUAUUUUUGUUUUUCUCUAAUACAUUUACAUUGCCGCACGGAUGAAAAGUCUAGAUCGACCACCCUUGCCUAAAAUUUUUGUAAUUUACCAGCAUGAUUUUUUCCCUUUUUAAAUUGUAUUAUUAUUUUUUAACAUUGUAUUUGCACAAACAGAUUAUUAGUUACAAUAUAAUUAAAUGUUUUUUUGCCAUCAAUAUGACCCGUGCAGCAGCACGGGUGCAAGGUCUAGUAGCAAGCAAUCCUACAAGUUGAAAGGAAAGACAAGAGGAUGAAGGCUGACAUUUCAUGGGUAGAUGAAACUAUGGAAGCUUUUAGAAAAAUAAUUUCUCAAAAAAAUUAUCAUGCAUCUCAUGUAAAUGAGCAUAUUGUAUAUAAGUAUAUUGAAUCUUCUAAGGUUUUAUUUUUUAUUUUUUUAGGGAUGAAUCUUCUAAGGGUUAUCAUAAAUUUUUGGAUGUCGAAUAUUGUGAUGGUUUUACUAGCAUACAUAAAGAGAUAUUAUCAUUAAAAAGCAAACAAGAACACGCCUAUAAACCUCAAAUAGAAUUUGCUACGAAGUCAAAUGGUGUUACACCUUCUUUUAAAAAACCUUACAAGAAAUACUCUUAUGUUAAAAAUAUUGAUAGCAAAUCCUAUGUCAUUAUUGUGGUAAAAUGGGACACACCACACUUCAUUCUUACAUUAUAAAAAUUGAAGUUUUUAAGGCUUUGUUUGAGAGUUUGGAAGGGAAGGAAAGGAAGGGCUUUGAGGGGUGCAAAAUAUGAGGAUAAAUAGAGAAAUUCUUCAAAAUUUUUAAAAGAGUAGUUUUUUAGAUAAUGAUAAAUUAAUGCAUAUGAUUACUUUAUUUUUAAUUUUAAAAAUAUUAUGACAACAUAGAUUAAAUUUGAAGAAGGGUUUUGUAUUAUGGAGAAAAGUUAACCAUAAUGAGGAGGGUCUUAUUAACCCUCCAAAACCCUCUACCAAUACAAUUCUUUAGUUCCUCCAAAUGAGGAGGGUUUUGUAUUAUGGAGAAAAGUUAACCCCCCAAAGCCCUCCUUCCCAUUUUCCUCUAUUUCUUCUACUUGCUCAUUCCUUUUUUCCCAAGCCUUCCCCUCCAAACUCGUAAACAAAACCUAAAGAAAUCAUGAUGUCAGUCACAAAGGGGUAAAGAUCCCCUCCAUUUAUAAAAAGAAAUAGAAGAUACAAUUUGAAAAGAGAUAAACACAAAAAAUAGUUGUUGAGUCUCAAUACUAAGUGGAUUCCACCAUCAUUAAUUAUUUUUUACUUUUUGUGUAUUUUUAUCUCUCUAAAUGGAACUAAUGAAAAAAAUUAUAAAUGAAGAAGAUCUUAACCCGUCACAAAGAGUCCCAUUUAUACAACCACAAAAAGGAAAUAUUUUUGCUCUUUACCCAACAAUUUUUGCUCAUUCCCAGCUGAAAUGCCACUACUUGAGUUAACUCACGUUAGUGUAAAAUUUGUGUGAGUUAAAACAUGCAGUGUGAGUUAACUCACGUUUAGUAAUAUGAUUUUUUUUUUUUUCCGAAUUUAUUUAAUAAUACGCAAGGAAGGAAGGAAGAAAGGAACAUAAAUAAUACAAAAUAUUAUUUAGAUGACAAAAUCAUAAAAUAAAUGCUAAUAUAAAUAAAUAAAAAGGAAGAAAGGAACAUAAAUAAUACUUAUAAAACCUCAUUUUAUUAAUUAUUGAUACAUUUACAAAAAUUGUUACAUUUUAUUCGAAAUUAUUAAAUCUGAAUCUUUGAGGUAAAAAGAGACCAACCAUGGGAUAACAGAGAAUCAAUGUUGGGGAAAAAAGAGACCAACCUGCUUGGGGCAAAAGGAUAUCAAUCCUUGAGGUAAAUCUAAAUCUGGUUUUUUUUGAUACCCCAAGAAAGAGUCUUUUUACCCACGGUAAAAAAAAUUUGGGGUAAAAAGAAGCAAAUUUACUUUUACCCCAAGGGUUGACCUCUUUGUGCCGCCAAAUCGGUUGGCCUAUUUUUUCCCCUCCCUUGACCUUUUUUUACCCCUCGAUUGACCUCUUUUUACCCCGAAAAAAGCUAAAAAAACAAAGACUAUAAAGGUGAGAGAGUGAGGAGGAGGAGAGAAUGUAUGGUGUGAGGAAAUUGUGAGUUUUGGAGGGGUAUUUAUAGGGAGGAAUGGGUAACGUAGGUUUUAUAUGCACUAAAUGCAGUCAAAAAAGUUAAAAAAAAAAGUGCAAAAAUGGAUUAAAAUCAAGGUUGAAUAACUAACCACCGUCCAAAAAACGUGUUCUUGGUGCAUGAAAAAUCGGCCACAAUAGCGUGAGUUAACUCACGCUAGUGUUAUAAUCUGCGUGAGUUAACUGAAGAUUUGCAUUUCCCCUAUAAAUAUUCUUUCAACCUUCACCAUUUGUCACAUUCUCUCCUCCUCACUCUCUCCUCCUCUUCCUUCUCCGAUAUUUGCAUUCAUUUUGUAGAUAUAUCUCAAAAACAGGGUGAUGCUGCUCAAUUAAAAAAAGAGGGCGAGAAAAAGAAAGCUAAGUCGACUUUGACAUGGCACGAAAUCAAAUGUGAUGGUUCCGUUAAAAAAAGUGAUUUGAAACCAUUCCAGACUGAGGAGGAGCGGAAUGACAUGUUAUUUUGGUCCUCAACCAAAAGCAGGUGCCACUAGGAUUGUCGAGGACAACCCAAUUGACUUAAGCGACGAAGGAGAUAAUUAAUGUAAUGACUUGUAAUAAAGUUGGAUGUUUUUCUACAUUCCUUUCUAAUGUAAUGGCUUGAAUAAUUUUGAAUAAAGUUGCGUUUUGAUUUAAAUUACGUAUUAACUAACUAACACUAGCGUCAAUACACAGAAAACAUAACUAGUGUGAGUUAACUCACUCAGGGAUAAUAUGGUCUUUUCAGUUGGGAGCGAACAAUUUUUGUUGGGUAAAGAGCAUAAUUCAAAAGGAAAAGAAACCUAGAUGAUAGUUUUUCAAGGCACGUGACAGCAGAUGCAUCUAUGCUGAUUGAUUUUCCAAGAAAGGAGCGUGGAUAUGUCCCAUAUGUUGAGAAUAAUAAAGGCACAAUUUUAGGUAAAGGUUUUGUAGAAAGAUAAAUGCUAGCAACACUUACUUUUCAACACUCUCCUCCAACAAUGUUAUUAAAGAUGUUAUCCAUGUUGAAUGAUUUAAACACAAUCUUUUAUGCAUAAGUCAAUUUAAUGAUAAUGGGUAUUUAAUUACUUUUAAUAUCAAAGUUGCAUAAUUGAGCACAAUACUAAAAAGGAAAAUGAGUGGAAAAGGAGUUGACGAAUCAAUAAGUGAGAGGGACUAACUCCAAAAAAAAAUAUGACAAAGGGUCAAAUCCCAAAAAAGCAAAAUUGACAAAAUCUUUAAUCCUUUCAUCUUCUCAAACACUACUCUUAACAUUUUCUCCAUUAUCUUUGUCCAAAAUCUUUCAUAUUCAUACCUAACACCUCUUAAUCUUCAUCUAGAACUGAAAAUCCAUAAUCUAACAACCCAAAACCAUCAUCAACAUAAAAAUCAUAAAUUACCACAAAAGUUUACAACCAAAUAGACGAAAGAUUUAGAAAGAAAAAAAAAUUAACAACAAGAUAAAAUGAUUUGCUCUCUCAACCUUAAUAUUUGUUUGCAUUCAUCUUUAAGUUUAACAACAUUUUUCAAAGAAACUGCUUCAAAUGCCACAUUAAACCACAUUGAAGCACAAAAACCAUCUAAAUUUACAAACACGGUUCCUAUAGUGUAAUUCUUAUUAUAGCCAACAGAAACUUCAAUUUCUUCAUCCCAUUGGUUGGUCAUUUCUAAAAUAAUGGAAUCAAUUUAGAACCAAAUGUUGUAACUCUUCAUGGAAAUCUUUCAUAUACAUUGGAACAUUUGGCAAAGGGGUACUUAAUGAACCUUAGCCUUGAUUCAAGUGUAUAUGAUCAUAACCUUUGACAAAGGGAUGUUUAAUGAACCAUAACACUGAUUCAAGUCAAAUGGGUGUGUUCUCCCAUGUGAAGGCUCAUAUAAUGACAUAGAAAUAAUUAUUGGCAUUUGGGAAUUAUUUGGACAGAAAAAACAUGAAUUUUGUUACAAUAAUAACAUAAUUCUCUCUCAUUCUCUUACUCUAAAUCAUCAAUCAAUUCUCUAAUGCAUGAGUAAAUUGCUGAAACCAUAAACCUGUAAAAUACUGUUAGGAGAUACAUUUGGUGUGGUUGUGUAAUACACAUCAAGGAACUCAUAAUAUCUUGAAUGGGAUUCACUGAUCAUUCCCAUCACAUCCAAUAUACAGUUAUUGGUGGGGCGAAUCGUGUAACACCCCGUUUUCCCAACUUAUAAGUUUGAACAAUAAUCAGAGUAAAACGUCACAUAAACGGGAUAUCGCACUUCUUAAAAAUCUCAAAUAGAUAAAUAACAAUUUAUCUUUCAAAGUAAACUUCAACGUAAACGCAGCGGAAUUAAUUCGAAAACCAUAAAUUGUCUUGGCACGCAGGCUUCAUCAAAUCACAUCAUAACUUCAGUUCAACAACAGUAAUCAUAAUUUCAAAAGUUAAUACAUAAAGGAAUAGAAGCAUGCAAUCAAAGACCCCAUCCCGUUACGUAUCAGAGCAACCUAAGACUCAGUGAGGCAAGGCCACUCACGACAGCACUGAUACAAAAUUAGCAAGUGUACUAAAAAUAUAUCGAAGUAAUAAAAUUUAUAAGUUCAUAUCCACAGGGACUGUUUCAAUUUCUACUUGGAAAAAACGUUAAAAUAAAGGAUGUAUUAAAUUCAAGAGUUCCCUAGGCAGUUGAGUUGAUUUUUGUAACAUAAACGUAAUAAAAACAAUAAAAGUUGGUUUUUAGAAAAUUAGAGAAAGAACUAGGUCUUUUGAAUCAUCUAUUCAUCACUCAUUAGUAAUCUGCACCUAAAUCGUAUGACUGUUAUUCAGUUUACAACAAUUAACAAAAUAGCUCAGGUCAAUCCCUUGACUCAGAGCCCUCUUUUCUAAUUAUAAUUCCCUAAUUCCUUAGGUGAACCUAUAAUCAUCAAAGGUUUUAAGUCCGUUAAUUUUAUAAUCGCAACCUAACAACUUUCCAUCCCUAGAUUGUCCGUGAACAGCAUAAAUAAAUCUGAGUUAUAAGCUGGUGUCAGCAGUCCUAUAAUCUCUAAUAUCAAUUAUAUUGAGUCAGAAUCAUAAAAGCAUUACACACAAUUUAUACCGAAUAAACUAGAAUAACUUUCAUAAUAAUUCAGAGCUACAGAUUACUUGGUCAUGAGCUAGAACAGAAUCAUCUAUGACCUAAUCAAUGGAAAUUAGCCACUCAUAAUAAAAGAAUUUAAACAACAAGGUUAAAAGAAAUUACAAAGAGGUGUUUUGCUCAUCAGAAUUUCUUCUAUCCGUGGUGCAUACCGUCUUCUAUCUCUCUAUGCGUGCGUGCGUGCGUUUUGCUUUGGAAUCCAUUCUUUCCAUUCCAUGCUCUGUCCCCCAAAACCGUAAUGCAUAAAACGUGAAUCCUCAGGCGGUAUGUGGCUAGCUUCUUAUAUAUAUCAUUGUGACCUGGUUGCUAUUUUUAAUUCUUCUUCGGGUCACAUAAUCUUGGGUCAAAGCCCACUUGUUUUCUUAAUGCAAAUACUUGAAUUAUUUUCACCACUCAUUCAAUUAUUAUCACACUUUUGUUUUUCUUGGUUGGCCAAUAAACUUAUUUCCUUCCUUCAAGUGGCACUCUAAUUGACCAAUAGAACACUAGUAGACUUAAUAAAUUAAUAACAACAAUUUAUUUAAAAUGACUCUAAAUUAAAUAUUAAACUAAUGAAAAUAGACUAAGUAGUUAACUAAAAAGACUCCAAAUAAAGUGUAUGACUGACUGUCAUCAAACACAACAGCAACCUACUAUGGAUUACCUGCAAGUUACUCAUACGAAUAACAACAUUUCCAAGCAGAAGGGGUGAGAUUUCACAAAACAAUAAUAUUAAGCAUAUAAUUCAACAAUUAUAUUUAACAACAUAAAACAUCUUAUUAAUCAACACUGAUAAUAAUAUUUCACAAAUCACUUCAUAAUAAUUUCAACUCAAUCAUUUAAUCAUCAUCGACUCGACAAAUGUGACUAUGCAACUUAGACCUCUUAUAUGCAUGUGGUACCAAUACAGGGCAUAAAGCCCCCAUCGUUAUUUGAGUAUUAAUAUACUUCUAGGGCAUCAAGCCCCCAUCGCUAAUUUUGAGCUAAUGCUCCAACGCGGUGAGUACAAAAAUCCAGGGCAUCAAGCCCCCAACUAUGAAUGCUAAUGCAUGGACUCGACCUCUUAAAACAACUUAAUUCGACAACCUCUUAUAUUAGUCCAAUAAUUUGGAACAUCAACAUCUUAGACCGACUCAUGCAGCUUAGUUAAAUAACAAACAACAACAUGUGCAGUGUACAACAACAUGACAUAAUUAUAUCAAAUUCAAUUCAUCAGCAUCUUUUGUAUACAAACAUUCUUCAAGUAAUGCAUAAACUUUAUAACACUUCAUAAUCAGCAACAACAUAUCUUAUUCAUCUUCACAGAUUACGGUUAACCUCACUAUUAAGUCUUAAUCCUACCCAAGGGUCCGAUCCUCGACAACCCAUGCAACAAAGGUCGCAAAAUCUAACAAGUCACUAUGUUUCUGGGUCACUCACGAGGCGAGGGCCUCUGCUCGCCGUGGCGAGUUCAGGUUAGAAUCCCAUAAGUUUAAUUCCAGGUUCAAUCUCGUCCUACACUCUUCACUAAUCAAUAUUCGACAUGUUCAGGCACUCAAAGGCAUCUAAGGUUCAACUCAAAAAUCAAAUAUACGAAAUCUUACAUGCUCUCUGGUCAUGCUCGCUAUGACGAGUUCAUCUAUUCGCUGUGGCGAGGGAGAAUGGUUCGCUUGGAGAGCGAUGAACUUCAUCACUCGCGAGGUGGGGAUCAUCGUUCGCGAGGGCGAGCGAUGAAUGUAGGCUCGGGCAGAAGUGCAAUUUUUACGAAAAUUCAUCUUUUCACAUGGUUUUAAGCCUAACAUUGAUUCCAUAAUUCAUCCUACAUAUUAUCUAAGGUCUAGGAACAGUUUCUACAUCAAUCUAACAACUUUUCACCGUUUAAUCAUGAAUUCACUCAAUUUGACCUAAUUUCAAUUUUUCUUAAAACUCAUCCUAAUUCAUGCUAAAUAUAACCAUUGAUUCAUAGACUUAAUAAGAUUGCAAAGUUAGUCGCACCCUUACCUUGUUUUGCAUGUUUUCUUUGUAAGUUGCUCUCUGUACAUCAGUGGCAUAUGCAGGAAGCUCUUCAUACCCAUUAUGCACAAGAUCACUCACAUCUUGUGCGCCAAACAAGGAUCUCAUCAAGGCACUCCAUCAUUCCCAGUUCUUGCCAUUAAGAAUCAAAAUGUUUGAUCCAAAACCGUUAUUGUUCAUCUUCAUUAUUCUUCAAGAAACCAGAGAAAUUAGUGCACACACUUCACUCAGUGUUUUCCAAUGAUGAUUCCGCUCACUUUUCACUCGUGUUUCACUAUGGAUUUAACCCAAGCUCUCUAUACCAAUUGUUAGAACAAAAACUGUGUUCUAUGCAGCAAAAGUGCUUAUAGAAAUAAGCUGUUUUGGGCAAGAUGAGAAAAUAACAGAAAGUUGUAAAACUAAAGAGAAAAUAAUGGAGAGAAUAUAUUUGCAAUGUGAAUCUCAUUCAUCGUAUUAAGUUUCACAAUACAAAGCCUUAUAUAGGCACAAAAGAGUCACUUGCUUGUAGAGCAAGUAAUCUCACUAACUAUUAGAUUUUGAAACAAACUUAACUAACUAUUAGUUACAUGGCAGUUAUUGAUUAAGAUUCUAAUACUCCCCCUUAAUCAUAACUGCUGAACAUCAAAAAUACCUAGUUUCUUCCUCAAAAAUUCAAAUACGUGAAGUUUCACUGCUUUUGUAAAACCAUCUGCAAGCUUCACUGCUUUUGUAAAACCAUCUGCAAGCUACAGUUAUUGGUUAAUAUUCUAACAUCUUUCAUGAUUGGAAGAUUGAGGAAUUUCUUGAUUUCACAUCAUUGGAAGAGUCUCUCAUAGGGGAACCAGACAAAUAAUAGUGAGUUUUCAUCUUUGUGAAUCAAGGAGAUAAUGGUGUUUGUGUUGCCUUCAAACACCAUAAAGAAAACAAGAUCAUCGCGAAAAUUUAUAGGAAUAAAGUGAUUCAAGUCCUUCUACAACAAAUGCACUAGAGUGGACGAGGUCAAUAGGUAACUGGUGAAAUUGUAAUUGCAAUAUCAUUUUCAAUGCAUCGAAACCCAAAGAGGAAUGCAGGAAUUUGUUAGAUAGAAUGAACAGUCCAAAUUGAUGGAGCCGCGCUCUUGUGUGGUGAAGAACACAUGAUUUCCUUUGUCUAGACUUGGGUGGUGAGGAUCGUGAUUCAAUGGACCACCAUGUGUUUGGUCGACGAUUUGGGUUGGGGAAAGUCUGAAACAGUUAUAAACCAUUAAGAAGUUUGUAUAGAAUGCAUUAAACAUUUACAGUACUAUUAAAUUUUAUAUAGGCAUAAUUCAUCCACAUAAUUUGAUAACAGGAAAUCGACAUCAGAUAUUCGUUGAUUUCUCAUAGAUCCAUCUUAACUGUAGCAACUGUUAAGGGAAAUAUGGCUGUAUUGCUUCUAGAGGACAUUCUAAAAUUUAAGAAUUCUCAUUUUAUAAGCUUGAUGUUGAUGUAUAUUAGUUUGCUUGUAUACAGGGUCAUGGCUUCCCAAUUGAGAAUUAACAUUAGCGAACUCUCGUCCCUUCGAGGACGUCCGGAAAAAUUGGAACGAUACAGAGAAGAUUAGCAUGGCCCCUGAUAGAUAUUUUUAGCAAGUGCACUAAAUACUAUCGAAGUAGUAAAAAAUAUCGUUCCCACAAGGACUGUGUUAAUCUCAAUUUAGAAAUAAAGUAAAUAUUUAGGAUGUAUAAAUUAUUUUGUUUAGAUUUUAUUUGAUUGCAUAAAAUUAAAUAACAUAAAAUAAGAACAAUUCAAUUCUGUUUAAGUAGAAAGCUAUGGUCAGUAGUCAUUCAUUCUCACUAAAUCAUGUUUAUAUUUGAUCAGAAUAUAAAAAGCAUUAAGAACAAUUGAAUUGAAUAAAAACUAGAUUGUCAUUCACAAUAAAUAGAGUUUCACAGCAACAUGGUUCAAUUAGGGUUACAAAGAAUCAUCUCAGACCUGAUCUCUAAGAGAUUUAGCUACUCAUAAUUGAGUUUACAAAUAGCAUAAUCAAUAGUGGAACCAAAACAUACAUGAACUGAUAGAAGGUUGAAGAAAUCGCCCUCCUAGCCGUCUUUAGGUCUCAAAAUCGCACUUUGCUCUCUCCAAAUCGUAACCCAUUGUCUUUGGAAUAGACUUCAGCUUAAAUAGGCACAGAAUUUCGCCUAAAAUGGUGCCACGAUUUAAGUAAAUCGUGACACGAUUCUCCUUGAAUCGCAAAUCACUGAAUUAGGGUUUCCUCAUAUCGUGCCACGAUUAUGCCAUCGUGACACGAUUUCUUCAAUGUCGAAGCUUGAUUUUGGUCUUCUAAAAUCGUGUCACGUUUUUACCAAAUCGUGACACGAUUCUCUUCUUUGUAUUUUCUUCAGUUUUCUACUCUUUUGCUGCAUAAGUUGCCUUGUGAACUCCAAUUUGUGAUCAAACUACAUAUAAAAAGACUCUAAAAAUAGCGAAUGAUGGACUGUCAUCAGCCCCUGCGCAAGGAUGACACGAGAACAUUACCGACGUCUCAUAUUGAUAACAAAGUGACAUAGUUAGCAAGCCUAGGAUAGAUAAUUAGCUGUUUUAAAGAGCUUUUGAAUUUGUAAAAAUGUGCAUCAAAAUCUUCAUUUCUUCCUUGCUUAUUAUCAUUAACCAUUUUUUCUAAAACCUCUUACCAAUAAGAAAAUUGAGUUAUUUAAAACGGGCUUUCGCUUUUGUAUUGACUUGUGGAUUUAGUCCUUUUUAUUAAGGUUCCUCAUUUCAUUAAGAUUUCUUGUGGUCACUUUUUCCACUGAUGUGGCGUUUGCUUUUAAAGAUUCAUUUGACGCCAAAACUGCAUCUUAAAAAUCCUUUUUGAUUUUGUGCCUUAGCCUCUCAGCUAAUAGAACAACCUUGGCCUCUUGAAUACUUGAAAAGUAAUAUAAUUUUCUGUAAAUAGAUAUUAUUAUACCUUAUUUUAGCAAGUUUCAUAGAGUGAAAUGAUUAGGUGCGAAGCUAGUAGACCAGAGGUUUUUAUGCAGGCUUCAAACUAAUACUAUUAUAAUGAAUUUUCUUCCUGGCUUGAUAGCUCUCAGACGUAGGUGACAACUUGUGUCUUUUACUUUCUGUCUUUAUCUUUAGUUUGUUAUGUGUGUUGUCACGAUGUCUCGACAUCAUUCUUGACAUUACAAAUGUCUUGACAUCGUGUUAGACAUCUCUUUCUUGCGUUUCAGAAUUUCAAAAUUAUUGUUUGUUUUGGCUAAUGUAUAAGGUUUUCUUUGGGGGCUUGAUUAAUAAAAAGAAGUAUAAUAGGAGGAACUUCUAUGUAAGUUUCGUUGCCAUUUGGGAUUAAUUUUCAUGAUUAUAAGAAGGUUGGUGGUUAUAAUUUAGACAAAUAACUAGUGGAUCAUAAUUUGCUCAAAAACAAAAAACAACUAGUGGUGCAUAAUUUAAGACAAAAACAUUUGCAACGACAAGACCUUUCCGAGUACAUGUGCAUAACAAAAGACAUAGAUGAUCAUGAAGACCUUUCCAAAGAGAGAAAGAAAUACACGUCUUUUUUUUUGGUGUUUAUGCAAAGGACAUAUUUUUUAUACUCACUAGAAGUCAAGCUGACACUUUCCUCGAAAGAAAAAAAGUAGUCAAGUUGACACUUAAGCCAUCAAAAUUGAUUCAGUCAACACUUACUAAGGUUCUCAUUUCAUUAAGAUUUGUUGUGGUUACUCUUACCAAGUCAUUGAUCUAUAUGAUAGUAACCAAAUCUAGUACUUCCUCCGUCUCAUUUUAAGUGUCGUCUUUGCCAUAAAAACAGAAUGAAAUCGGAAAAUUUUUUAAACACCUAUCACCUGUACUCCCAUAAAAACCCCUUCAAAAAACUAUCAAACGGACCAAAAGUCAUAUUCAAACCGUCAUUCAGAUUCUUUCAAUGUAGAAGGGUUUUCUUAAUAAUUUAAUAGUAUUUUAUUUUAGUCAAACCUAAGUAAUUUUCUAGAACUUUCUAUUAUUAUAUUGUUUUGUUUUAUUUCGGUCUACGAGUUUGUUAUUUCUUUUGCUAUUUAAACAGAACAUUAUGUAGCUUAAAAGACACUUUUUGAUUCAAUAAAAUUAUUCGAGAUUUUCUCUCAAUUCUGGUGGAUUCCGGAAACCUUAUUUGAUAGGUUUGUCGCUUGCAACCUGUCUCUUUAUAUUUUAGGUUUAGUGUUUGCUAACCCUUGCUUCCGUAUUGCUUCAGUUGGUAUCAGAGCAGGUUUCUCCUGUUCGUUUCCUAACGUGAUCAGCCAUAGGAGAUCAACCGGUUACAAAAGGAGAAUUUGACAGUUUAAUUGCGACCGCCAAAGCUCUGUAUCAAAUGGCGACAUUGAUAACAACAACAACGGGGUUGACAACUAAGAUUGACAACCGCAACAACAACAACUGCAACUACAACCAACAACAGAAAUCCGAACAGGGGAGGACAACCAAUUCCAAUUAUUAGGGUUUAUAUGAUUACCACAUAAAGGCUGAUAUUCGAUUGUUUUACGGAACAAUGGAUGUAGAAAAAUUUUUGGAUUGGGAGAUUGAUGUUGACAGAUUUUUCGACGUCAUUGACGUCCCGGAAAGCAAGCAAGUUAAGAUGGUUGCGAACAGACUGAAAAGUAUCGCAGCUGUUUGGUGGGAUAGACUCAUUGUGCAUAGACAGAGACAAAGAAAAAACCCUAUUUCAACUUGGAGAAGGAUAAAACAGCUUAUGCUUAAAAGAUUUAACUCUCGGGAUAGAUUCUCUCUCUCACCGCUUGUAUCAAUUAAAAAUUUGGAGAGGAAGCAGCUCCCGUCGCCGCGGAUGUAUCAAACGUCGGUGAAGGGUGGUUAUGAUGAGAAUAUGAAGGAGAAGUUGAGUAAGGAUCUCGGAUAUGGUGGGAAAUUAUCGCAUGAUGCUGAUAUGGAAAAUAAGAAGGCGUUGACAAUAAAAAGAUCAAACUUCCUGUCAUGGAAGUAAUUGAUGUAUUAGUAGCAGAUAAAGAGAGUUCGACAAUAAAUGCCCAACCUGAUGUAUUUGGUACUGGUCAGCCUCAGCCUUUGCCACCAGUUGCUUCAAAAACCGUAAAGAAGUUACCUCUUAGUAAGAGGUAACUUCUUUACGGUUAGUGCAAUGACAUCAAUAAUAGAUGGCUUGAAGAAAUUGUAUGUGGAGCGAUUAAAACCAUUGGAAGUCACUUAUGAUUCAAUGAUUUUGUAUCCCCGCUACUAAAAUCAUCGGAUCUUCAAUAGCUAGCUGUUGUCGAAGAAACCACCGGAUCGAUAUGUUGUUAUAGUUAUCGACCAACAAUCUGAUUAUGUUAUUUUACAAAAAUUGUCACCACUCAUGGAUUGGUCAUCUAGUACCACGAUUGUAAAUCUAAAUUUCAUGCUUAGCCAAACACAUAUCAAAUCUAGUCUAAGUGUUUAAUGGUGUUACAAGGACAAGCGUCACAUGAAAGACAAACAAAAGCUCUCGCAAGUUGAAUUAUUGGUCGUUGAUGAAGCUGCUGCUAUUUCUUGUCUUCUACUAUUAAUGGUUAUGAAGGUAUUGGACGCUCUUUAUCAUUAAAACUUUUGCAUCAAUUGGAAGGUCAAAGCAAUGAUUCUGCCAAGACAACAGAGGGCACUGAUUCUGGUUUUAAGAAAAUUCAACUGAAUCAAUCCAUAAGAUAUGCUUCUGGGGAUCACAUUGACAACAGGCUUAGUAGAUUACCUCCAUGUAGUGAGUGUGAUCUAUACUAUGUCAAUCGGGAUACCCUAUUUUCUUAUCACAAAGAUAGUGAAUUAUUUUUUCAGCAAAUGAUGUCCUUAUAUGUCGCAUCACAUCACAAUAAUUCUAAACAGCUUUGUGUUGUAACAUUUGGAGACAACAGGGUCAUCAAGGCAUGGGAUGCAGUCACUGGUGCAAAGCAAUAUACUUUUGAGGGUCAUGAAGCGCCUAUAUAUUCUGUAUGCCCUCAUCACAAAGAAAGUAUUUAGUUCAUCUUUUGGACAACAACUGAUGGGAAAAUAAAGGCAUGGUUAUGAUAGAUAUUUAGCAAGUGUACUAAAAACUAUCGAAGUAAUACAAUUAAGUUCGUUUCCACGAGUACCGUGUUAAUCUCAAGUAAACAAUUGCAUUAUGAAAUAAGAUGAGUAAAGUUUAUUUUAGUGCCCGAGGCAAUAGGUAUGUGUGCAUAAAAAGUAAAUAACAUAAAAUAAAGUUGUUUAGAAAAGAUAGAGAGAGAUAUGAUUAGGUCUUUCGAAUCCUCUGAGGUCCCCUAAUUGGUACAAUGCACCUAUUUCUCAUGAAUAUUUCUAUAGUUUUACGAUGAUUAACUAAAAUAGCCCUAACCCUUGACUUAAGACUCUCUUCUCAGACUACAGUCCCUAAUUCCUUAGGUGAUCUAAUAUUCUUUGAAGGUUUUAAGAACGUUAACCUAAUAUCACAAAUAAACGAUUAUCCAAUCCUAGACUAAUUAACCCUGUUUAUUUGAACAUUUCAAUUAGGUCUAAGUGUGAAACCUAUGGUCAGUAGUCAUUCUCACGAAAUCAUGUUUAUAUUUGAUUAGCAUAUAGAAAGCAUUAAGAACAAUUAAAUUGAAUAAAACUAGAUUGAUAUUCACAAUAAUAGAGUUUCACAACAAUAUGAUUCAAUUAGGGUUACAUCAGAAUUUUCUCAGACCUAAUCUCUACGAGAUUUAGCUACACAUGGUGACUAAACAAGUUAUAAAAGAUAAACACAUACCCUAGAAAAUCAAGGAGAAGAUAGAUUCUCUCCUGAAGCUCCAAAGUAGCCUUCAUCUUGAACUGCUUCAGUUCUGAACCAGAAAUUCUGAAUGAGGAAUGCAAAUAUUUAUAGUGAGAGUUUCUACUUGGAUUUAGGUUAAAAGUGCGGGCUUUACCCAAAAUAAUAACAAGAAAAGACAAAUAUGCCCCGAGGUAUCAGAUGUGCUAGGAACAUUGUUCAUGUGUUAGGCGCAUGAGGUCUUUCUUGGGCCCAAUUCUCCGAUUUUCCGUCGUUUUAGGUUUUCGUCUUCAAAUAACUUGCCUCCAGACUAGGGAACAUAAUUUUUCCCUAUUGUAAGUCUUCUGAGGACUCGUGAAUCUUCAUUCUUGUCUUCCCAAGGUCUUGACAAUUCUUCAGUUUUUCUUGCUUUAAUUACUGUUUAAGCUUGCUUGUGAACUCCAAAUAUCAUAAAUUUACAUAAAAAAUUACGUAAUGACAAGAUGUCAUCAGGUUAUAUGAUAACAUGGGUUCUGGGGUUGAUUAUGAUGCAUUUGGCCAUUCAUCUACCACAUUGUCAGAUAGUGCUUCUUGCGGCACCAAUAAAGAAGGGGAGUCAUUUCUAGUGGAAUGGAAUGAAAGUGAAGGAGCUAUGAAGCAUACAUAUCAUGGUCUUAGGGAAGAGAUCUACAAGUGUAUGUUCAAUUUGAUACCACCAAGACACAUUUACUUGUUGUUUAUGAAACUCAAAUAGCCCAUAUGCGAUCCCCCAAAAUUGGAAUGCCUAAGGCAGUGGGUGCAUCGGGAAGCUAGUAGUCCAAUCCAAUCACACAUGUUACAUAUUCAUGCGAUAGUCAAUCAAUAUAUAUAAGCUUUGAAGAUGUUAGUUUGGAGAAAGAAAGUCGUGAUGAUAGAGUGUAUCAUGAAAAUUACUUCAAAUAUGUGAAUAUGUCUGAAUGUCACUGGCUGUUCUACACCGAAAAAUGAUUGAUAAGGGAAGUAUUUCUGUUCCAACAAUUCUACUUAAAUGGAAGACUUUACCUCCUAAGUACGGCACUUGGAAUUUUGCUGCUAAUGCUGAUGUGUUUGUGGUCAUAAGUGAUCAACCGGACAAGAUAAAAGAAUAUGAAGCUCAAGACGUAAAAUGCAAGGAAUUGACAUACACUAUACAGGAAAAGUCUCUAGAAGAUGAAGGCAUGGACUUUCAAGUUAAUUCAUGGUACUUGGAUAAUGCUAGUUGGAACCAAUCAUGGGAGUUUCCCUCGUGACAUUCUUAUUAUUUACCUGAGAUUUGUAAAAUGGAGGAUCUAGAAAUUAUUCGGCAAGCUACUGCAUUUCUUCAAUGGGAUCCAGGAGGGUGGUCUCUUGUUCAGAGGUGGAGGAGACUGAUGUAGGAGAGUUUUCUUAGUAAUUUAGUAGUAUUUUAUUUUAGCCAAAUCUUAGUAAUUUUCUAGAACUUUCUAGUAUUAUUUUGUUUUGUUUUAUUUCGGCCUACGGGUUUAUUAUUUCUUUUGCUAUUUAAAUACAACAAGGGUAUUUUUUACAUUUUCAUCAAAUCAUAAAAAACAAGGGUAUUUUUUACAUUUUCAUCAAAUCCUAAAAAGUUUAGCUUCUCUCUUCCUUCUUUCAUUCUUACGCAAAACGGUGUUUAUCUGCAAAAUGCAAAACGUAUCUUCUCUCUGCUUUUCUGCUGUUCUGUGAAACUUCUUCACCUCUGCUGUAAAUCUUCCUCUACUUUGUCGUGUUUGCUCUGUUAUCCUGUUAUUUUUUUGUUUAACAAUCUCAAACUCUGUCCUAUUACUUUUUUGUUCUAGUUUUCUUUGUAAUUAUUGAUUCCAAACCCCAUUCUACUCUCUUUGUUUCUGUUUGUAGUUUGUACAAACAAUCCUCUGUUUUGUUUAUAUAAAACUCUAUUCUGCUCUCUAUGAAAUAGCGGUCAUUGCGCUAUGCGUUAUCCCGCUAUAGCAUUUUUGGGGUCGCACGCUACGCGCUGCUAUCCGCUAUUAACUACUAUGAUUUACGGUACUAUUAAAUUUUAUAUAGGCAUAAUUCAUCCACAUAAUUUGAUAACAGGAAAUCGACAUCUGAUAUUCGUUGAUUUCUUAUAGAACCAUCUUAACUAUAGCAACUGUUAAGGGAAAUAUUGUUGUGUGGAUUCAAGAGGACAUUCUAAAAUUUAAGAAUUCUCAUUUUACAAGGUUGAUGUUGAUGGAAAAGGUUGAUGUUGAUUUUGUGCCAUAACCUCUCAGCUAAUAGAACAACCUUGGUCUCUUAAAUACUUGGAAAGUAAUAUAAUUUUUUUUAUAAAUAGAUAUUAUUGUACCAUAUUAAGCAAGUUGCAAAGAGGGAAAAGAUUAAUCUUAACAUAUAUACAGAAGUCAUAUACAUUUGUAAGCACGUUGAAUAAAUUAUCAUAUAGUUGACAUUGUCACCUUAAACUUGAAAUUUUACAAUACAAUUUGAAUGAAGUUUUAAUCUUUUUUUACAAAGUCAACAAUGAGCUGAGAGGCUAGCCCAGUGAUGUUAGUUGUUGCAGCUGCGUACACUAUAAUGAAAGAAUAUUUUAGUAAAGUUUGUAACCAAUGAUUCUUUUUAUUCUUUACUGCAUUCCCAACCAUAAUACCCUCUUGCACACCAUGCCUCUCAUCAUUUAUCUUCUUCACUAUAACUGCAUCAAAUACACUUGAAAGAAUGCUCGUAUAAUACUCAAAUUGUUCUUGUUCCGCAACCACGUUAACAUCGAGCCACAUGAAGACCAAAUCAAUUGCUUUAUUGAUCUUUUCCUUUUCUUUUGACGAAAGCAUCAAACUAAUGUCCUUAUCAUUUAUCGCAUUCCUCAUGUUGUAUGCAUACUUCUCUAAUACAUCUCUCGCUUCUAGCUUCUUCAUAUACCUCUUGUCUUCAUCUUUGUACUUCUCAGCUUCUUUGAUCAUCCUCUCAAUUUCCUCCUUUGACAAUCUUCCCUUAUCACUUAUUAUUUUAACCUUAUUAUUAACUCCAAGGAAUUUCUCCCUGCUACAGAUGUGUAAGAUGCCAUCGUCAUCGAUUUGGAAGCGGAUUAUGAUCUGAGGAACACCUGCCGCAGCAGGAGGAAUUUCCAACACAAAUCUUCCUAGCAAGUUGUUGUCCCUAGUUAUUUUCCUCUCACCUUCAUAAACAUCAAUUAGAAUAUUCAUUUGGUUGUGCAAAUGUGUGGUGAAUACAUGUUCCAUUUUGGCAGGAAUUUUGGUAUUCCUAGGGAUUAUUAUUUCCAUAAUCCCCCCAUGUUUCUCCAAUCCAAGGGACAAAGGAAUGACCUCCGACAAUAGUAAAUCUUGAACCUUCUCACUAAACUCACCACUCAAUAUAGAAGCAUGGACAGCAGCGCCAUAUGCCACCGCCUCAUCGACAUUGAUGCUUUUGCAUAAAAGCUUCCCCCCGAAGAAAUCACUCACCAUUUGUUGCACUUUUACAAUCCUAGUAGAGCCGCCAACAAGGACAACAUCAUGAAUGCUACUCUUGUCCAUCCCACUAUCAAUUAUACACUUUUCCACAAUCUCCAUGCACUUGUCGAAGUGAUUCUUGUUGAGUUCCUCAAACUUUGCGCGACUAAUCGAUGAGUAGAAAUCUAUACCUUGAUUUAAACUCCCUAUCUCAAUGGUGGUCGUAGUAUUGGAAGAAAGUAUCCUUUUUGCUUUCUCGCAAGCAGACUUCAACCUCCUAAGGGCUCUUGGAUCUCCACUAAUGUCGAUUUUAUACUUCCUCGAGAACUCUUUCACAAAAUGGUUCACCAUUGUAUUAUCAAAGUCUUGUCCCCCAAGGUGAGUGUCUCCUGCAAUCGCCUUAACAUUGAUAGCACCGUUCUCAAAUGUGAGAAUGGACACGUCCAGAGUACCACCACCUAAAUCAAAAAUGAAAACAUGUCUACAUCCAUGAUUAAAAGGUUUCAUGUCAAGACCAUAUGCAAUUGCAGCUGCAGAAGGCUCAUUGAUUAUUCGCAUAACAUUGAGGCCAGCAAUAACACCCGCAUCUCGAGUGGACUGGCGUUGUGAGUCAUUAAAGUAAGCAGGCACAGUUAUAACAACAUCCUUCACUGUUGAUCCAAGGUAAGCUUCAGCUAUCUCGGCCAUUUUUGCCAAUACCAUCGAUGAGAUUUCUUCAGCAGCAAAAUGCUUUUCCUCGUCAUUAUAGUUAACAACAAUCAUGGGUUUGUCAUUGAGGUCGCCAAUUACUUUGAAGGGCCACGACUUCAUAUCACUUUGUACGAUUGAGUCGCAAAACUUCCUACCAAUUAGCCUCUUUGCAUCUACAAAACAAACAAAAGAAUUGAGUACACUAUGAGAAAAAAUGAUGUACCAUUUUCAUUGCAUUUGAAUAAAUCUGUAUGUAUAAAUAGGAUAACUCUAAUAUAUCUUGAAUAUGAAAAAUUGUUAUAUAUUAAUUAUGAAUCAAAUUACACUGAUGUAACAUGUAUCGUUAUAUCACUAAAUAACUUUUUAUUGGAUAUUUUCAUUACAAAAUUCAUAGCUAGAUUAAAAAUUAUUUUGCAUAUAAUACAUCUAUAAAAUCAUUUGAUAUAUAAUAUACAGUUGAUUUAAAAUUAUUUCCAUAUCAAAUUCAGUUGGUUCCAAACCCAGCUUGCAUCCAAAAGAGUUAAUAUAUGUUUACCUCAUGUAAUAUUAGCGGUUUCUGAUUACACCCUAUAAAAAAAUUUGAUUCCAACUCUGUAAUUUGAAGAUUGUUUGGAUUUAGACUUUCAUGAAUUUUGACCGUACAAAAUCGAUAAAAUGACAUACAUAAACAAAAAUUCGUUCAAAAUACAGAGUGUGAAAGUACCUUAAAUAUUGAAAUUUGAUGUCAUAAAAUAAAACACUAAAGAAUCUUCAAAUAACAGAGUUGAAAUCUAAAAAAGAAACUUUACAGAAGUUAAACCGAAAACCGUUAAUAUUACAUAGGGUAAACAUAUAUUAACCCUAUCGAAAAUAAGAAUUUUAACUAAAAAUAUAAUAUACAUAGGAUAAGUUUCAUGCAUUAAAAUAUCAUAUAUAGUUUGCUCAUCAAACACUAAAAUCAAGGAAAAACAUGAUAGUUUAUCCUAUCAUGUAUCAGUUUAUUCUAAAUAAAAUCAAGAGUAAUUGAGUUUAGAAGCUUUUACCGAAAACAGUGUUGGUUGGGUUGGAUGCAGCCAUAUUGAAAGCAGAAUCACCAAUCAUUCUUUCAGAGUCAGUGAAGGCAACAUAAGAAGGUGUUGUUCUAUUCCCUUGGUCGUUCGGUAUGAUCUCUAUCCUAUCAUGCCUCCAUACAGCAACACAAGAAUAGGUUGUUCCUAGGUCGAUUCCUAUUGCAACUUUCUCACCUUUUACUGUCAUUUCUCUCUUGCAAGGUCACCCAGGUUUUGAGAACAAAUUGUUGUUUGUUUCGGCUAAUGUAUGUAUAAGGUUUUCUUUGAGGGCUUGGCUUAUAAAAAGAAGUACAAUAUGAACUUCUUUGUAAGUUUCGUUGCUGUUUCGGAUUAGUUUUCAUGAUUUUAAGGUUGGUGGUUAUAAUUUUCACAAAUAACUAGUGGAUAAUAAUUUGCUCAAAAACAAAACAACUAGUGGUGCAUAAUUUAAAACAACUAGAAGUCAAGCUGACACUUUCCUCGAAAGAAAAAAAAAAGUAGUCAAGUUGACACUAAAGCCAUCAAAAUUGAUUCAGUCAAAUUCUUAUAAACCGGAGUUUUGCUACUUGCAAGAGUGAAUAUUCUCCUUGGAUAGCAUAUUAAAUCCAUCUAUAUAGGCUGUAACCCUUAUUUGUAAAAUAAAAAGAAAAAAAAUUCAUUAGACGCCAAACUUGCAUUUCAAAAAUCCAUUUUGAUUUUGUGCCUUACCCUAAUAGAACAACCUUUCUUUCCCAUGGAAAAGGUUGGGAAUUCCGCCUUUAUUGCGAUAUGUCCCUAGUCGCUUAAAUGCGACAUUUGAGUUGUCUUGUGUUGGCUUUGAGGGGGUGGAUUUAGUCCCAUAUGGGUUGAAUUGGACUAAGUGUAUAGAAGAGGAGGCACUCCAUGCUUUACAAGCCGGUUUUGUCAAGAUGAGUUAGGCUACAAAUUUCUACGGUUCGCAAAUACUCCAGAGUCGGAAGAGCAUUUUUUUUGUAAAGUGUUUUCCCUAGUUAUUUUCCUCUCACCUUCAUAAACAUGAAUUAGAAUAUUCAUGUGGUUGUGCAAAUGUGUGGUGAAUACAUGUUCCAUUUUGGCAGGAAUUUUGGUAUUCCUAGGGAUUAUUGUGUUCAUAAUCCCCCCAUGAGUCUCCAAUCCAAGGGACAAAGGAAUGACCUCCGACAAUUGUAAAUCUUUCUCACUACACUCACCACUCAAUAUAGAAGCAUGGACAGCAGCGCCAUAUGCCACCGCCUCAUCGACAUUGAUGCUUUUGCAUAAAAGCUUCCCCCCGAAGAAAUCACUCACCAUUUGUUGCACUUUUACAAUCCUAGUAGAGCCACCAACAAGGACAACAUCAUGAAUGCUACUCUUGUCCAUCCCACUAUCAAUUAUACACUUUUCUACAAUCUCCAUGCACUUGUCGAAGUGAUUCUUGUUGAGUUCCUCAAACUUUGCGCGACUAAUCGAUGAGUAGAAAUCUAUACCUUGAUUUAAACUCUCUAUCUCAAUGGUGGUCGUAGUAUUGGAAGAAAUCUAUACCUUGAUUUAAACUCUCUAUCUCAAUUAUACACUUUUCUACAAUCUCCAUGCACUUGUCGAAGUCAUUCUUGUUGAGUUCCUCAAACUUUGCGCGACUAAUCGAUGAGUAGAAAUCUAAACCUUGAUUUAAACUCUCUAUCUCAAUGGUGGUCGUAGUAUUGGAAGAAAGUAUCCUUUUUGCUUUCUCGCAAGCAGACUUCUACCUCCUAAGGGCUCUUGGAUCUCCACUAAUGUCGAUUUUAUACUUCCUCGAGAACUCUUUCACAAAAUGGUUCACCAUUGUAUUAUCAAAGUCUUGUCCCCCAAGGUGAGUGUCUCCUGCAAUCGCCUUAACAUUGAUAGCACCAUUCUCAAAUGUGAGAAUGGACACAUCCAGAGUACCACCACCUAAAUAAAAAAUGAAAACAUUUCUACAUCCAUGAUUAAAAGGUUUCAUGUCAAGACCAUAUGCAAUUGCAGCUGCAGAAGGCUCAUUGAUUAUUCGCAAAACAUUGAGGCCAGCAAUAGCACCCGCAUCUCAAGUAGACUGGCGUACGUUGUGAAUCAUUAAAGUAUGUAGGCACAAUUAUAACAACAUCCUUCACUGUUGAUCCAAGGUAAGCUUCAGCAAUCUCGCCCAUUUUUGUCAAUACCAU